This 254-nucleotide ribosomal RNA is filed under the name uncultured bacterium. Its description in RNAcentral is "partial 16S ribosomal RNA". It matches the Rfam family "Bacterial small subunit ribosomal RNA", at positions 524 to 776 of the family's 1533-position model. The record is from RNAcentral.
UACGAAGGGGGCUAGCGUUGCUCGGAAUUACUGGGCGUAAAGCGCACGUAGGCGGCUUUCUAAGUCGGGGGUGAAAUCCUGGAGCUCAACUCCAGAACUGCCUUCGAUACUGGCGAUCUUGAGUCCGGGAGAGGUGAGUGGAACUCCGAGUGUAGAGGUGAAAUUCGUAGAUAUUCGGAAGAACACCAGUGGCGAAGGCGGCUCACUGGCCCGGUACUGACGCUGAGGUGGCGAAAGCGUGGGGAGCAAACAGG